GAUGAGGUAUCCUGUUAGGUCCCUGAGAGCAGUGUAAAUGCCUGAAUACUAACAGAGGCUUCUUAAGAGGCUUGAGCUUCACUCUGUGUAACAGGUAGUCGACUUUCUGCUGCCUUCUGAUGAAGAUAUAGCCAGCACCAUGUCUGCCUGCAUGCUGCCAUGCUCCCCAGCAAGAUGAUAACGGACUGAACCUCUGAACUCUUCAGGGAGUUGAGACUUAGAGUCACCUGUCAGAGGUCAAAUGGACCCCAGCACCCUUGUCAAUCAACAGCCUAAGCUUCCCACCUCCUGCUUAUUCCUGAGGGAUUUCUACUUGGCUGACAGACACCACCCAGGAAUCAGCCGUGAAGUUCGAACUGCUCCAGACAGCCGUGAGCCCUGGACUUGGUGACAGCUGAUGUAAACCAGUGCAGCCAAUGUGAUGCUCCCUGUCUCUUCAGCUGGGUCAGCAGACCAGAUACUUAGGUUCUUCCGGACUAUUGACUGCUGUCUGCCAUCACAGGGCUCUCAGCUCUCCUGCUGCUAUUGAUUACAUCUGGCCCCUGAAUCGUUAAUAUCUUAACCAGAUAUGUCUAAGAGGUCCAGAGAGUUCCAUACAGUCUGGACUGCGAUGAAACAACCAGCUACCCCAGGAUGUGGCAGCACCCCAGCUUUCUCAAGGUCCCCCAGAGAUGGUCAAUGCCCCGAAAUCAUCAGGAAGUAAUCUUGAGAGCUUGACAUCCUUAUUCCCUAACCUGCCAUGCCUAACUCCUCACCUUUUUAAUAAUAAGUAAAGGUGAGAAUGUAAAAGAUUCAGGCAUUAUGCUGGCCUGCCCCUGUCACCUGGUCAGUCCAGGAUUC
Mesocricetus auratus (golden hamster) is the source of this 840-nucleotide long non-coding RNA. RefSeq lists it as uncharacterized. Lineage: Eukaryota; Metazoa; Chordata; Mammalia; Rodentia; Cricetidae. The transcript has 5 exons. The record is from RefSeq and is a predicted model, not a curated record.